GUGUACAGGUGCUUCCAAAAGCACUUGUAAAAGUACUUUCAGUUUUCAAGCCUCCCAAGCCUUUGAGCCUGUGCCGCGGCAAACAGCUUUAAAAGUUCAAAGUCCAGCCAUAAAGCCAUUAAUUAGGAGCUGGCAGGCUGCCCGGCGCAUGAGCACAUACCUCUCAUCAAUCAUCUUGACGCGCAGAGCAGAUAACGUCCAAUCCGUCUCUCUGUUCCUCUGCCGGCAUUCCGAUUCCGUUUAGCUGGGCCCAUAACCCAAAAAUGUGAGAUUUUGACCAGCUUCGGCCCAUCUGAAGCUGAUACAGGCUCGUCUUAUCUUGAGCCCAAGCAGAGUAGUCCACACAGCAGAAGGAUAAGCAGUAUGUGCCACAUUCUUAACUUUAUUUCCACUCUAUGCUGAGAGAAUACAAACAUGCAUCUUGCCUCUGUGAGAGCAGAGAAGCAACUGUCUCUCUAACAAAGAAACCGAGAGAACAGUGAAAAGCAGGAAACCAGUGAACGUCACAUCCAGUCUCCCAUUCCCGUGGGAAUCCAACAGUAACUCUGACUGUGGAAUGCAAAACAAUAUCUUGUGACUGCAGUUGCUGCUCAGUGAGGGAAAUAGAAACCAACACUAACCACCUCCCAUUCCUGCACAGCAUUUGUCAAAAAAUGGAGGACUGUAGGAUCAGGGUCAGCUCUGUAGUCUUCCAACUAGAAUGCAGGAAUCCCAGCACGCAGUCUCCCAUCCAAUAGGAAACCAUGCCGGACCCUGCUUAGCUUUGCAAAUGUGCUAGCAGUUUUAUUGCUGCACCACUGUUUAAAGAAUGAUUUAAAUGUAUGGUGAGCACACAACCUAGUUAUACUAUUUUGCGGGUGGCAUUGUGGUCUAAACCACUGAGCUUCUUGGACUUGCUGAUUGGAAGGUCGGCGGUUCGAAUACGUGUGACGGAGAGAGCUCCCAUUGCUCUGUCCCAGCUCCUGCCAACCUAGCAGUUCAAAAGCACACCGGUGCAAGUAGAUAAAUAGGUACCUCUGUGGCAGGAAGGUAAACGGCGUUUCCAUGAACUCUGGUUUCCGUCACGGUGUCCUGUUGUGCCAGAAGUGGUUUAGCCAUGCCGGCCACAUGACCCGGAAAGCUGUCUGUGGACAAAUGCCAGCUCCCUCGGCCUGAAAGCGAGAUAAGCACCGCAACCCCAUAGUCACCUUUGACUGGACUUAACCAUCCAGGGGUCCUUUAUGUUUUACCUUUACCUUACUAUUUUGCAGUGGGGGGGGUGUGGCAUGAGGAUUAGCAAAAGGCUCCCUGGAAAGAGGAUGGCUGAGCCCAAAAAGAUUGUGAUACAACUCCUGCGAAGGCAAAAUUUCCUCAGCCUUCCCGAGACCCCACGUUUCACGUCAUGUUAACUGCCUAUGGGCACUUCCUGCCAGUCCUCUGCCUGCUCUGCUCCCCCAGCCGGCAGAAGUGUAGAGGGAGGCAGCACCAGCCUUUUACGUAAAAGGAGGAGGAGGAGAAAAAGCACCCUUGAUAUUUUUAAGGACUUGGAAAUAAAUGUUUCUUCCAGAAAUAGAGAGAAUGUGGAGUGUGUGGAGGUGUCUCUGGCGGGGGGAGCGUGGGCUGCCGGAGCUGGUUAUAUAUAGCACUUCCCGAGCCAAGCCUCUUAGCAGCAAUGGAUUUGCAAGGCUCGCUGGUUCCAGCCUUUGCGGAAGCGGCUGCAAUAAAUACCUAAGUAGGUUUCAUGUUUGUAUACCUGAUUUUAGCAGUGAUUCACUGGGGGGAUUUGGGGAAGUCAUUCAGAGAAGCAAGUGAGACAAAAGCUUCUCGGCCCACUAAUUGGCCACUAGUUCCACUAAUUGCCAUAUUGCACAUUACAAAACUAGGUAGGCUGCUGCGUGGGUAGCAUAACCAUGGAAGGAUUUCAUAAUCUGUGAGGGAGACAAGCGGGGCUUCGAUUACACUGGGGCUUGCCCCCUCCUUAGCUUUUAUGACAGCCCCCUUAGCUACUAUUUUUAGAAAUGUAUGGGGGCACAAUUUGUCUGUAAUUGUCUAGCAGGUGUUAGGCAGAGAGCGUUUGUAAAUUUCAUUAAGGCCCCCUACUUUUCCUCACAUUAUUCAAACGACUUCUGAGACCCUGUGUGUGUGCACCCUGAAGCAAGCAAGCGGCAAUUGCCCCCAACACCAUACAGCAUGUAAAAAUAAAAUGUGUAUGCCUCUUACGGAUUAUCAGGUAUGGCAUAAUAUAGGUACACACUGUGCACUUGGAUGAAGCAGCCGAUUAUGGGUAAAAUUCAUGUGCCCGUAUUUUCUUGCCACAAGCGUGCUUUCUUCAUUCCUCUGCCCCGCAGCUGACAAAAGGCUGAACAUGUUUUCAGGCUUGCACAAGUGAGGCAGCCUGGCUUGCUGAAUUCAUAUUGUGUGGGCUGAACCAUUCAGAGGCUUCAAAUGUUUGCGAAUGUUCAUCAUCAGUUGACAGCAAAAUAUCACCUUGCAGUGGGAGGGCGGGGGCUGGGGUGGGAAUCUAAAUGAUACUCAAAGCAUAACUGAGGCUUGGGAUAUCCGCCAGUGCUCAAAAAGGACUCUGUGGAAGUCAACUUUUAAAAUGUGGAUUUGUGACUCUAUCAAUCUCCCAGCAUCCCUUUGGCCUGCAUCAGCAACUGAGCCAUUACAAUCCUCACUGUACUCAGGUAUUGCAAGCACAAGGGAAAGCACUUCCUGAAGCCAUUAGCAAAGUCUAUGGCCAGUGUGGCUCGUGCAAAGAAUCCUGGUGCCAACAGAUCAGAUUUCUCAAAGGGUGGAGUCAGCACCUCACCUUUAGUAGAAGAGGCCCUAUGGCUCUUAUCUGCCAAGACUGCCAGAAGUGCUUAUUAGAGUGGAGUAAAAAUGGUAGGGAACAAUAUACCCCCCAACAUUUCUCUGAUGAAAAUAGGGACAUCCUAUUCAACAAGAACAACAAUUUUCUUUAUACCAUGCCCAUCUGACUGGGCUGUCCCAGCCACUCUGGGCAGCUUCCAAUACAUAUCACAACACAAUAAAACAUUUAACAUGAAAAAUCUUCCCUAUACAGGGCUGCCUUCAGAUGUAUAAUUGCUUAUCUCCUUGGCUCGGGGGUCACGUAACUCCAUACAUUCCAAACUUUAUUUGAUGAAAAUAGGGACAUCCUAAGGAAAAGCGGGACAUUCUGGGAUCAAAUCAGAAAACAGGAUGGCUUCUGUAAAUCUGGGACUGUCCCUGGAAAAUAGGGACACUUGGAGGGUCUGGAACCAGUAACACACUCAAGGCUUAAAUAGGGCCUUGAAACAGACUGCAAUCCUGUACCCACUUUCCUUAGAGUAAGCCCUAUUUAAAAACAUGUGACUUAAUUUUGAAUAUAGGAUUGCAGAGACCAUCUCAUUUACCUAUAUAGUAAAAGCGUGUGCUGGGAAUGGCCCAUGUGAAUGGACGGAAAUGCAGCAACCCAGCCUCAGAUGUUCAACUUUAAAACUGCCUGGUGACUGGCACUUGAAUUGCUGAUGAGAACAGGAAGUAGAUUUCUCCUCCUGCCAACAAUGUGUGUAGCUCUGUGUUAAGGUGUAGCUGAUCGAAGGGCCACAUUCUCCUUUGGCCACUGCUGGCUGUGAUGAAAUGUGAUGAAAUCAAAAUGGCAUUAAAAUUUAAAAAUACAGAUAAUCUGAUGACUGGGAAGUGUUAAGUUCUGUCAAACCCAAAGCUUUGCCUACUUCCCCCCUCUUUUUGCUGCUGCCAAAAUUGGUGAGGUCUUUGAGGCUAGAAAAAUAUGAUGGAGAAACUGGAUUGUUUUCCCUGCAACUUUUUGUUCUUUUUAACACAUCCUUCUUAGAACCAAAUACCUCUCUCGCUUUUAUUCCACUUUCCUUCUCAUUUCUCUUCUCUUCCCCAUUUCUUCAAUCCCUCUCACUUUUUAAGCUUUCCAAUCCCUGCCCCCAUGUUUAUAUACCCGUUUUCUCUUUGUUUUCUCAGCCUUUCUUAGAAGCAGGUCUUCUCCAACUUGCAUCCUUCACUCACCCCCUUGCUCCCUGGCAGCUCCAAAACUGCCUGGCUCCUAAUUUUUCACACACAAAACAUGUAUCACUGUGAAUAAGAGAUAUGCUUUUUAUGCUUUCCUCAUCCAUUGUUCCUUGGUUUAAAAAUGCUUGUGUCUUCCUGUGAAUACUCAGCGGAUAAUAAACUCCCAAAAUCUGCUGUUGGGAAAUGUCUUUAUUGGGACCCACCAAAAUGUCACAAAAAGUGUGACGAGGGUUCUCUAAUGCCCUUUUGGGCCCUUUCCCCUGAUGUGAUCCUUCAUAUGGAGCUAAGCAUCACUUUUCUCAUCUAUCCCUUACUCUUCCUGCAGGGCGGCCUCGUUACCUAUACACUUUAUGUUGCAGACAGAUGGGUUUGUUUACCUAGUAAGCACUAGCACUAGAGGUCAGGAGUUGCAGGAACACAAGCCUACUUGUUAUCCUUAUCUCUCAGGCUUAUCAACUAUUCCUGUGGUAGGUGCAGGGACACCAGGGAGGCUACAGGUAGGUAGCCGUGUUGGUCUGCCGUAGUUGAAAUG
This is a non-coding RNA of Podarcis lilfordi (Lilford's wall lizard), 4537 nucleotides long. The record is from the annotation of a GenBank genome assembly. Lineage: Eukaryota; Metazoa; Chordata; Lepidosauria; Squamata; Lacertidae.